AACACCAUUUGUGUGCGACAGGCCGCAGCCAAGAUAUCCACGAUUUUCAGAAAAACGAUGGAAAAAGUUGACGGAAAAAGUGUUGGUGUGACACACCACCUUGAGAAUGCUUAAUUAUGUAAGGCCUGCCUGCCUGCCUGUCCCCCCCCCCACCCCCCUCUCUCUCUCUCUCUCUCUCUCUCUCUCUCUCUCUCUCUCUCUCUCUCUCUCUCUCUCUCUCUCUCUCUCUCUCUCUCUCUCUCUCUCUCUGAAGUGUGGAUGGUAUAUCAGCACAGGGAGCAAAAAACCAAGGAGCCACUGAGGCUGUCACUUUGAAGAGGUCAUUGUUGUUGCAUCCAGCAUCCCAGCCUGACUGCCUAGACAGCUCCUGCAGGUUGCUGAAGGGCAGAGUCACAGACUGCUCCACUGCCAGGUGUGAGACCAGUGUGGCAGAGUAUGAUGUGUACACAAUGAGGGACACACCACAGCCAACCCUGUAGGUGACCCAUGCUGCACUGCUGAUUGGGUCCUCACUUUGCUGUAGGAGAGCUGACAACACGUACCAGCCAGCAACUCCCAUGCUGACGGGCUUCUCCCCCAUGGGUAUGUAGCACCUCUGGAGUUGGUCAGCAAAGAAGAGGAUGCUAGCCAAACCUAUCAUGUUAG
Long non-coding RNA from Scylla paramamosain (green mud crab), 645 nucleotides. RefSeq lists it as uncharacterized. The record is from RefSeq and is a predicted model, not a curated record. NCBI's taxonomy places the organism in Eukaryota, Metazoa, Arthropoda, Malacostraca, Decapoda, Portunidae. The transcript has 3 exons.